AUUGAACGCUGGCGGCAUGCCUUACACAUGCAAGUCGAACGGUAACAGGUCUUCGGAUGCUGACGAGUGGCGAACGGGUGAGUAAUACAUCGGAACGUGCCUAGUAGUGGGGGAUAACUACUCGAAAGAGUGGCUAAUACCGCAUGAGAUCUACGGAUGAAAGCAGGGGAUCACAAGACCUUGUGCUACUAGAGCGGCCGAUGGCAGAUUAGGUAGUUGGUGGGAUAAAAGCUUACCAAGCCGACGAUCUGUAGCUGGUCUGAGAGGACGAUCGGCCACACUGGGAAUGCGACACGGGCCAGACUCCUACGGGAGGCGGCAGUGGGGAAUUUUGAACAAUGUGCGCAAGCCUGAACCAGCAAUGCCGCGUGCAGGAUGAAGGCCUUCGGGUUGUAAACUGCUUUUGUACGGAACGAAAAGCCCCGGGUUAAUACCCUGGGGUCAUGACGGUACCGUAAGAAUAAGCACCGGCUAACUACGUGCCAGCCGCCGCCGUAA
RNAcentral lists this ribosomal RNA (498 nucleotides) under uncultured bacterium. RNAcentral describes it as "partial 16S ribosomal RNA". It matches the Rfam family "Bacterial small subunit ribosomal RNA", at positions 30 to 523 of the family's 1533-position model. The record is from RNAcentral.